RNAcentral lists this ribosomal RNA (482 nucleotides) under uncultured bacterium. RNAcentral's name for it is "partial 16S ribosomal RNA". It matches the Rfam family "Bacterial small subunit ribosomal RNA", at positions 29 to 507 of the family's 1533-position model. The record is from RNAcentral.
ACGAACGCUGGCGGCGUGCUUAACACAUGCAAGUCGAACGCUGAAGCUCAGCUUUUGUUGGGUGGAUGAGUGGCGAACGGGUGAGUAACACGUGAGUAACCUGCCCCCUUCUUUGGGAUAACGCCCGGAAACGGGUGCUAAUACUGGAUAUUCACUGGUCUUCGCAUGGGGGUUGGUGGAAAGGGUUUUUCUGGUGGGGGAUGGGCUCGCGGCCUAUCAGCUUGUUGGUGGGGUGAUGGCCUACCAAGGCUUUGACGGGUAGCCGGCCUGAGAGGGUGACCGGUCACAUUGGGACUGAGAUACGGCCCAGACUCCGACGGGAGGCAGCAGUGGGGAAUAAUGCACAAUGGGCGCAAGCCUGAUGCAGCGACGCCGCGUGAGGGAUGGAGGCCUUCGGGUUGUGAACCUCUUUCGCUCAUGGUCAAGCCGCAACAAUGGUUGUGGUGAGGGUAGUGGGUAAAGAAGCGCCGGCUAACUACGUG